CCCCUCUCCAUGCUCUCCACCCUGUCCCUGUCUCUCCUUACCCUCCCUGGAUCUCCCUGGCACUCAUCCCUGCAGGCUGUGGAACCCACUUGGCAAUUUCCCCGGAGGUAACAGAGGGAAGAGAGGAGAGAAGAAGAAUAAAGAAAAGAAUAGAAAAGUCAUCAUUUGUUUUUCAUCAGUGCAAUGAAGCCCAGGUGACCUUGGAAUGCAGCUGCAGGGUCACCCACCCUGCCACGGCAGCUCCCCUCCUCCAGGACUGUCCCUGUGUACCCAGCAGAAGACAGGCCCCAGUGUAACUCUUCUAUCAGGCCAGAGCAGAAGACUGCCAGCCACACUGAGUGCACAGGGACAGGGCAGGAACCCACAGGGCCAGGGCAAGUCUCAGAUGGAGUCAGAAGUCUGCGUGUGCGGUUGUGUCUCCCAUCCCCUGGAGGGAGAGGAUCUGAAGAGGCGCCUUUGGGAGGUAAUUAGGUUUAGAUGAGAGUGGAGCCCGCAUGAUGGGAUUAGUGCCCUUAUAAGGAGGGAGAAACCAGAGCACUCUCUGCCAUACCACGUGAGGACGCAGCCAGAAGGCAGCCAUCUGCAAACCAGGAAGAGCUCUCACCAGAAACAGAAUCAGCCAAACCACGAUCUGGGAAUUCCCAUGUUGCAGAACCCUGAGGAUGAAUUCCAUGCUGUUUACCACCCGACCUGCAGUCUUUUGUUAUAGCAUCUGGAGCAGACUAAGACAGCCUUCCAUCCACGUUGGCCCCUCUGUGGGUUGGCAGGCUGCACCACAGCUGACCCUGCCCUGUGCUCUGCAGCCUUCCCUGCCAAGCCUUGGCCUGGGUCAUGAUGACAGAUGCUUCUUGUCUUUUGGUGAGCAUCUAAAGUGUGUGGGAAGGUACAGGUUACAAAGGGCUUUCUCUUGCUUCAUCUCAUGGAAUCCUUGCUGUAUGACUGUUGCUCUGCACAUCUUGCAGAGGCCAAAACUGGACAUUAAAUGAGUCCAUGCUGACCACACGAUCAGCACAGGACUGAGCCCACUGCCAGGUUUAAGACUCAGCCAGCCUGUCUGACCAACACUGCUUGGUCAGGACAGCCUAGUGGACUCUCAGUGCUUCCUGUCUCAGAAGCUCUGUUCCCUCCCUGCCUGAAAUGCCCUUGCCCAGUUCCUCUGCUUGCUUAAACCUCACCCAUCUUUCCCAGCUCGGCUCAUGCCCAAUCUUCACUCAAGAGUCUCCCACUAUAGGGCCAUGAGGAAAUAAUCCAUCUCAUAGUCCAUGUUGCACUUGUAAUCA
Molecule: long non-coding RNA, 1280 nt
Filed under: Marmota monax (woodchuck)
Lineage: Eukaryota; Metazoa; Chordata; Mammalia; Rodentia; Sciuridae
Source: RNAcentral